ACCACGCGCACACCCCCUCGGAGAUGACAGCGCCGUCGCCCUGCGAGGAAAGCGCUCGCAUCUGUGCGAAGAGAGAAAAAAAAAGAGAAGAAGAAGAAUACGGCAAAAAACGAAUUAUAGAGCGAAAGCAAUCAUUAUUCUGCAAUUCUUGCCUCGCCCUCCGAGGGGUUCAAUGGACCGAGAGGCUGGGAAAAAAUGCACUUUGCCUGCUUUCAUGAAUCAUAUCUAUAAGCCAAGUGAAGUGUGUCCUCUAUUCUGGCAGUUACAGUGCGGGCGUGAUUCAGCGCCGCGUGAGAUAAGGCGGCCGGCUACCGGCGGCAGGAGAGGAGGCGACAGGAAGACGCUGCUCGGACAGCUCCUUGGCCUCGUGGGAGAGGUCGAAUCGCAGCGUGCGCCCGGCCCCCCUCCCUGCAGAGGAGUUCUGGGGCGGGUGACGCCCGAGGCAGAACCACAAACUGCUACCAGCAUUCCUCACCCGGUCUGGACGCAGCUCAGCAUCUCAGAGGAUGUUUUGUUGGCGAUGACGCAACGAGGCACCGCGUAAUCCAACUAUUAGCGGCACCGAAACCAUCUGAACCUCCUGGAUGUCACGCCCAAGCAGACCGAGGGCAGGCUGUCAUUGUCUGCCUGACGCCUGUUAAUCAUCCCGGGCCGUGGGAGGCCUUUGACUGACGCGUCGCUGUAUUUUGCUGACACAAAAUACUUUGCUCUGUUGUCGUGGUGAUCAAACAGGAACCUGAUUGUGCUGGAGAUCAAUGGACUAAGCUACACGUGAUGGUUAUGCUCCCUUCCUGCGCUGCAGCGUGUUUUGAAGCUAGACAAGCUGUAAUGCACAACGUGGCUGUGAUUUUAAUAUAUUGCAUGUCUGUCUGAGUUAAACAUGACUUAGAUGUGUAAUAUUAACAUCAUAUUGUUAAUUUUCAAUAGAAGAUCUGAACAUCACAUCACUCAUUCAUGCAGUGUUUCUGCUCCUUUAAUCCUUUCCAGGGUCAUGACAAUAAUUAGCUGUAAAAUAAGUUCUGCUUUGGUUUGAGUUGAUGUUGUUAUUCCCCACUACACCUUCAUAUUCACGAGUACAUUUUCGUGGACUAAUCCCCUAAAUUUGGUGAACCUACAGUAUGUUCAGAUUUCAAAUGAAAACCAGCCUUGAAAACAUGGAAUUAACGCAGCACUUAUUAUCUUCAAACACUUGGCUGUAAACAACACUGACAGCAAGGAUGAA
Molecule: long non-coding RNA, 1222 nt
Organism: Betta splendens (Siamese fighting fish)
Lineage: Eukaryota; Metazoa; Chordata; Actinopteri; Anabantiformes; Osphronemidae
Exons: 3
Source: RefSeq, a predicted model, not a curated record